Brassica rapa (field mustard) is the source of this 6504-nucleotide long non-coding RNA. RefSeq lists it as uncharacterized. Lineage: Eukaryota; Viridiplantae; Streptophyta; Magnoliopsida; Brassicales; Brassicaceae. The record is from RefSeq and is a predicted model, not a curated record.
UGGUAAAAUUUACAUAGGGUAAUCACCAGUUCUCCUGGAUACCUCGACGGACUCCCAGGCUAAACUCUGAUGGACGGUCAUUGGCGCUAAUCGGAUCUUUUCGAGGUUCUAGAUACCAGGGUCAUCAAAAAAAAAAAAAAUCAUCUCGAAACAAGUGAUUUUCUAUGUAAACUAUUGACUAUAUUCUUUAUUAAUUUUUCCAGUUAUAUAUUUUUCUUUCAGAAAUUGAUUUCCAGCAUUAAUUUGUUGCAGAAAAGGGGAAAGUUUAGGAAAUAAUGGUGGUUUUGGAGUAAAAAUGAUAAGAUGCUCAAGUGGUCACAUUGCGUCACAAUAAUGGAGUCGAGUCCCAAUGAUGCUAUCUAUAUUCGGCAGCAAAAACUGAUAAAAGUAUUGUUUUUCUUUCCGACUGGUUGGUCCUAGUCUAAUCAUGGAUUGUUUUGUCUAUAUUUCAACGAUGAAAAGUAUUUCUAAAACAAAUUAGAUCUUUAUAAUAAGGAAAAUUGUAUUAGACUACUAGAUUGAACCUUUGAAAAUUAGCAUAAAAGGUAGUGAGAUAGCACAACGAUAGAAAAUUACAAACUUUUUUAGGAGGAGAGUUAGUAGAAGAAACUAUCAACUAACAAAAGUCAUUCAACUAAAAUUACAAUUUUUUUUUGUCGUCAACAAACAGAUUCAUAUAGACUCUGCGAAUUAAAAUUAUAAUAUAAGUAUUCAAAUAACUGUAUAUAAUGUUUUGAACUUUUGACCUUUCCGCAGACAAUCAAAACUGUACAGUUUGAAAUAUGUAAAAACAAGGGACCCUAGAAACAAUAUAUAUCUUUCCUAAAAUAAGACAUGCUCGCUUUCCACCUCUGGACUCGGUGUUUACAGUGUUUAGAGGAAACGUAAUGGGAGAAGGCACCAGAUGACAAUUUACAGUGUUUAGAGGGAACAUAAUAGGAGAAGGCACCAGAAAUCUUGGUCGACAGCUGUUCAGGUUACUCGUUGCAUUGAUAGAACAAUGCGUAACCGUAUUUCUUCUCUUAAGUAUGGAAGAGAUCACAAGUUUGAAGAGCUUAUGCGGAGAUGGUUUGAAGUGACUCCUUAGUUUUCUUAAUUGCUCCAUAAAAAUUCUUUUUGGCCUUAUUAGUCUACAUUCUUUUUAUCAAACUCAUUUUUUUUUGUAAAUGUUACUCUUUUGAUCAAUAAAUAUGAAAUUUCAUCAAAAAAAGGACAUGCUACCUACUUAAAACCAACAGAUAAAAAAACAUUUCAAAUAUUUGAUCCAAAAAAAAAACUUUUCAAAUAAAGAUCACUUGGUACUUAUCAAUUAAAACUAAUAUAAAUUUUUCUCAAAUAAUUAUUGGUUGGUAUUUUAACUCCUCAGCUUAUAACGCUACUAAAACUUAAUAAUCGUUACCAAAUAUAUAUCAUUUAUUUGGAAAAUCAAGACUAACAUAUGUUUAAGAUUUAAUUCUAACAAAAUAACUAAUUCGUAACUAAUUUGAAUCUAUACCCCCCCCCCCCCCCCCCCUCCCCCCUCCAAAAAAAAAAUCUUUAAAUUGAAAGUCAAAGUUCUUCUUUUCAACCAAACUAAGACUAACAAUAAUUUUUUGUAAAAAAUUUCUAAUGACUAGUAAUAUUUUUAACCAAAAUGUAUUUCAAAAUAUACAAGAAAUUCUUGGGUAUUUACUAGGGCUGGACAAAUAAACCGAACCCGAAAACCCGAACCGAACCCAAUCCGAUAAAAAUGAAUCCGAACCGAUCCGAAUCCGACAUAAAAACCGAAUGGAUCUUGUUUUAUGGUAUUUUGGGUUAUGGGUAUUAUCCGAACCGAACCCGAACCUAAAUGGAUACCCGAUAGAACCCGAAACAUUCAAAAUUUCUAAAAGAACUUGUACCAAACAUGAUCUCAAUUCCUAAUAUGUAUUCAAAAUAAAUUGAACAUCUAAAAUAAUUAUCUAUUAUAUGAAGAUUGAUGGUUGAAGGUUGAAGUUUUUAGAUUUGAGUUUUGUUUUCAUUGAAUAAUGUUUUUCAUUUCAUGAUAACUUGAUUUUCGUUUCGUGCUUUCCUUUAUUUGGAUUUCUUUCGAUCAAUAACUAUGUUUACUUUUCACUUGAUUUUGAAUGAUCACAUUUGAUGUACCUUUCUUUUUUUUUGAAACGAUUUUAUUUAUGUUUUGGUUACAAAAUAAGUAGAAAUCAAGUAUUUUAAAACCAAAGAACCGAUUUUAGUUACUUUUUGGUUACAAAGUAGAUAUAAAUCAUGUACAUUUAAACCGAAGAAUCGAUUGGGACCCGAACCCGAAAGUACAUCGGGUUCUACCGGUUCUUUGAAGAUUUACUAAACCCGACCCGAACCCGACAGAACACGAACCGGUCCCGAACCGAAUUUUCAUAUAACCCGAAUGGGGCUGAUUUUGAUAAACCCGAAAAACCGAAACCCGAUUGGACUAAACCGAAACCCGAUUGGGACCCCGAAUGCCCAGGCCUAGUAUUUACUACUUGUUUGAGCCUACUCGCAACCAAAUUUUAUUUGAAAGAAGAAUUUUUUUCAGUUUGGAUUUUUCUGGAUUUGGAUUCAGAUUGAUUUUUUUCCUAACAACCCUUAUAAUAUAUAUCAUUUUAUAUUCUAAAUAUACAAUUUAAUUAAAUAAUAUUAAUUAAAACUUUUGUGAUUUAUAGAAUCAGAGGUUAAAAACUAACAAAAAAUUAUUUAGGAUUUUAGUUUUUUUAGUUGAGAGAUUUUUAGCCAAUCAUUUUUAGUUAAUUGCAUUUUCAUUAUACUAUUUUUCUCAACAACAUAAACAAGCGGAAAAUUAAUCAAGAAAUUUUGUAUGAAUUUUUAAUGAAUGAUUCUUUUAUCCCAACUAUCUUUAACUGAGAGACUUUUAAUUAAGAACACUAUUUUUACGGAUAAUCAUGCUAAAAUUAUAGUUUAUCAAGUAAAUAAAAUAUUACUAUAACAAAUCAUACUUCUUAAACAUGCAUUAUUAUAAUGAAAAAAUUAAAAAUAUAAAAUUUGACUAAAUAACUAUAAAAUUUGACUAAAAUAUCCAUAUGCCUGAAAAAUAAAAUGAUUCCUCAUUUUUAAUCAUUCUAUUUAAAGUUCUCUUUAAAUUAUAUUCCAGUUUACAUUUGGAGACCUUUAAUUUCACCUUGCAAUAUAUCUUCUAAAAUGUGUGAAAGCAUGUAGAAUCCCUUCAGAGCUGUCUACACAGAAAAUGAGCUGUUGGAUGGAACAAGAAGAUACUCCCUCCGUUUUAUAAUGUAAGUAGUUUUAGCUAAAAGCACAAAGAUUAAGAAAAUUAUUAUGUUUUAAAAAGUAUUGUAUAUUAAAUAGGUUAGAUAUAACUUAACCAAUCAAAAAUAAGUUUAUUUAAUUUGAUUGGUCACACUAUAUUCAAUAAAUGUAAAAGUUACCUAGAAAUAUGAAAACUACUUACAUUUUGAAACAAAAAAUUUUCCCUAAAACUACUUACAAUAUGAAACGGAGGGAGUAUAUAUUUAGGAAUAUGGGCUGAGCUCUUGGAACAUCCUCUGAAUUUUUAAUAAGUAUCCGUGAGAUUCAAGAAUGUAUUGCUAAUAAAUCUACGCCGGAUAUAGAGAAAUAAGAAAAAGCUUUUUUCUUCUUCUCUUUUUAAUCUUGAGAAUACAAGUUUUGUUUUUUUUCAAAAAAAAAAAAAAAGAGAAUACAAGUUUUGUCUAAGACUAUAAUCAGAUGUAACAUGUAUGUAUGUCCAAUGACGUGUGUUUAAUAUAACAACUUAUAAGAUUUUAACUGAUUUAUUAGAUGUAUGUAUGUUGUCAAAAACAAAAAAAAAACUGAUUUUGUUUAAAAAAAAAUAAAUAUAGACAUAUCAGAAAUAUCAUAAUUAUGCAGUAAAAAUAUAUUACGCAUUUGCAUAUUAAUAUUUUUCUUUUUAAUUAAAGAAACCUUAGAAACUGUCAUAAGUUUACAAAUGUUAUCGAAAGGCUAUAACUCUAAAAACUAUAUUCAAAUCAUAUUCUUAACAAGAAAAAGAGAUAGAAGAAUCUAAAUCCGGUAAGGUUGAACUGCACACGCGAACAUGAAGAUAACGUAAUGGACCAAUGAUAGAAUGACAAAUUAGACAACAUCCUUGGUUUCAUAUGAUUCCCAAAUGGACCCAUUCCCUACUUUUAUCCAUGUCUUUGAAUGCAUCUUUGCUAGUUGCUACCAAUAUUUACAUACGCGUGCGUGCGUGGAGGCUACUUUACUUGUUUUGGAUGCUAACUAGCUAGUAAAGGUAAUUGAAAACUUGAGAUCCCAAAAUCAACGUUUUAAUGUGGCACCACCACACCUUCUUUAAUUUACGACGCUCGUAUCAUCCAUGAAUUGGUUUAAGUCGUUCAAACUUACAUAUUUUUAUUGCUAUAUCGAUUAAAAUCCUUUGGAUGAGAUACCAUACAUUUUCAUGGUGACAACUAUAAUCUAGAAAUGUAGAUUAGAUGCAAGCAUUGGAUCGUUAUCUCAAAAUUACUUAACUAAACGUUCUGAGUGUAUAGAAUUACUCCGACGGGCAUUUGACAUACACAUUAAAACGCAUUUGUAUGUUUUAAAUUGAAAGGAAGUCACAAAACUUCACUAACUAGACCAAUAGAAUUCAGUUGUCUGUACAGAGAAGAAAGGAAAACUAAGUUCAUUGGUCCUUUUUCUAGAGUUUUUGGUAAGGCUAUUAUUGAAAUUAUUGACAUGAAAAAAAAAAUUAUUGACAUGAAAAAAAUACAAACGUGUGGAAUACAAAAAUAGCUUUUAUGAAUAGUCCUGUAAUUGCUGACAAAAAAAAGAAUAGUCCUGUCAGAUAGACAUAAUAAUCAAGGACUAAUAAAAGUACACAAAGCCACAUUUAGCAGACUAUGUAAGGCCACGUAUGAGUUAGAAGGUAGCCUACACAAGCGGUUUUGCAAGCGUAUUAGUUUAUCAACAUUGGAUACAAUACAGGAAAGACGCAAAACGGACCACAACUUGUAUUUAGCUAUUCAUUGCUUAAAAUGCUCCCUAAUUCAUUAUGCCCUCUUCACUCCUCAAUAUACUUCCUAGCCAUCCCUAACUUUACUGUUAUGGUUCUCUUAAUACUGUCAUGGCAUAUUUUAGGUAUUUUUUUCUAUCUUGAUGGAUAUAUUUGUGGCAAGUCAUGUUUGCCUUGUCCUUGCUGUUUGUAUGUUUCUUUAGAAGAAUGAAUCACUUUCUCUUGAAUCUUUUUGGGCCAGACCUCUGAAUUUUGACUCAUUUUGUUCUGAGAAUGCAGAAUUCGAGCCUGGCCUUACAUAGUCUGCUAAAUGUGGCUUGAUGAAUUACAGUUAGCUGGAAUGGAUGGAGAUACCGAAUUUGGUCCAAGGAUCAAAUUAGCUUUGUUGAUUACAAAAUCUUGAGAAAAGUAAGCAUGGCUCUAGAUAUGCCAUGUUUGACACAUGGGAAGCGUCCCGGUGACGUUAUAAUUACUUGCGAGUUACUAGAAGUUUCGGGCAGAAAAAGAAACAGUGUUGCGUUAAAACAACUGAUGAAUGAGAUAGAAUAUGCAUUGGAUGGUGUUGGAGUCGGAUAUCCUCGGAUAUUGAGGCUCUGUCGUUGCGUUUCCAAAUUGUUGCAAUCAGAAUUCAGAAAGCAGGAGAUGAUAAUCUCAUUUCGUAACACUUCAUAUUUUGCUGGUUUGUUUUGUAAAUAUGGCACAAUGACUACUACACUAGUAGUACAUCACCAAAAGGUUUUCUCUGUCACAAUUUAGUUUUUUUUUUUGGGGAGUUCUGUAUAUGUGAAUAGGUGAGGCUAUAACUAAUUUUGGUUGCUCUCAUUCAAACUUAGAUUGUUUUGUCAUCUUUCAUGUAGUGUUUACGUUUGCAUUUUGUAAAAUUGUUUUAUGAAAAAAAAGACUGAAACUCUUUGUUCACCAUAAAAAAAAAAAAAAAAACUGAAUUCACCAUGUCAUGCCUACAUUUCAAGAUACCAGGUAUACCUAUGUAUAUUAAUGAUGGCAAGACCUUAUUCAUGCAAGACUUUAAACGUUAAUAAUUGGUUGACACCUGUGUGCACAGUUGUACAUAAGUAAAAAUGGUGUAGGCCACUCACUCUUAUCCCCAUCUUACAUUGAAUCUAGAAUCUAGAUUUUGGAGUGAUGUAUUUACUUUAUCUGCUACCAUAUUGAUAUUACGUAGUAAUGUUCUCUUCUUUCCACAUUUGUAUGACAAGCCUUUUAAAUAGUUCAAAUAUCAUUUCAGUUACACCCAACUGUCAAUUGCAGGUAAUACCUCAAAUCUGAAUGUAAACUCAUUGUGUCACUCACACACAGAUAGAUUCAUCAAGACUAUGUUCAAACAAGAGAUUCCAUUACACAUGGGUAUACAUAUAUAACUCACAUGAUAUGUAUGUACAUCAGAUUACCCCAUCCCCGGUCUAAAUCUGCUGAAGAAUCAACCGUGACGCAGCCUAGUAAAAGCAGUAGCUGUACACAACAACAAACACACCCAAACCCAACCAAAAGAAAAACAGCCUCUAUACCAAAGAAAA